RNAcentral lists this ribosomal RNA (465 nucleotides) under uncultured bacterium. Its description in RNAcentral is "partial 16S ribosomal RNA". It matches the Rfam family "Bacterial small subunit ribosomal RNA", at positions 339 to 795 of the family's 1533-position model. The record is from RNAcentral.
CUACGGGACGCAGCAGUGGGGAAUAUUGGACAAUGGGGGAAACCCUGAUCCAGCAAUGCCGCGUGUGUGAAGAAGGCCUGCGGGUUGUAAGGCACUUUCGGUUGGGAGGACUGCUUCUAGCACUAAUAUUGUUGGAAGUUGACGUUACCUUCAGAAGAAGCACCGGCUAACUCCGUGCCAGCAGCCGCGGUAAUACGGAGGGUGCAAGCGCUAAUCGGAAUUACUGGGCGUAAAGCGCGCGUAGGCGGCUAGAUCAGUCGGGUGUGAAAGCCCCGGGCUUAACCUGGGAACUGCAUCCGAUACUGUCUAGCUUGAGUACAGGAGAGGAGAGUGGAAUUCCACAUGUAGCGGUGAAAUGCGUAGAUAUGUGGAGGAACACCAAUGGCGAAGGCAGCUCUCUGGCCUGAUACUGACGCUGAGGUGCGAAAGCGUGGGGAGCAAACAGGAUUAGAUACCCUUGUAGUC